This 253-nucleotide ribosomal RNA is filed under the name uncultured bacterium. Its description in RNAcentral is "partial 16S ribosomal RNA". It matches the Rfam family "Bacterial small subunit ribosomal RNA", at positions 524 to 776 of the family's 1533-position model. The record is from RNAcentral.
UACGAAGGUGGCAAGCGUUACUCGGAAUUACUAGGCGUAAAGGGCAGGUAGGUGGUUUGGAAAGUCCGUUGUGAAAGCUCCCGGCUUAACUGGGAGAGGUCAACGGAAACUUCCAGGCUUGAGUAUGGGAGAGGGUACUGGAAUUCCCGGUGUAGCGGUGAAAUGCGCAGAGAUCGGGAGGAACACCGAUGGCGAAAGCAGGUACCUGGACCAUUACUGACACUCAACUGCGAAAGCUAGGGGAGCAAACAGG